Molecule: long non-coding RNA, 4090 nt
Filed under: Patiria miniata (bat star)
Lineage: Eukaryota; Metazoa; Echinodermata; Asteroidea; Valvatida; Asterinidae
Description: uncharacterized LOC119743101
Source: RNAcentral
AUCAAGUGGUCUUGCAAAAACCUCAGGACACGUCCGUCGCCAGCCCCGAGCGUCAGGGGGGCCAUAGUACCAACUAGAGGGGGCCCACUAUCAUAAAAAUACAAAAAUACACAUGUAUGGCUUUUGCCGUUGGGCGACUAAUUGGUCGCUUUUACUGCUUUUAAGCAGUAAAGCCAAAACAAAAACAAAAAAAAUUGGAUACAAGGGGUGGGGGAUCAGAUGUACUUUCAUCCAAAGUUUUGUGUCUUAAAUUUUCCCCUUGCUUUAUUCAAGUAGCCACUCUCAUCACUUUUUAAGUUCCAACUCCCUACAGAGUUGUAAUGACUCGAGUCGACUCAAUUUUUGGCGACUCAACUCGACUCAAGUCCAAACAGGUUAAACUGACUCAACUCGGCUCAAGUUAAUACUGCAUGCAUAUUACUCGACUCAACUUGAGUCCCUCAUCAGAAGACUCAACUGGACUUGAGUGGAAGGCUAAUAGCACUCGAGUCCCAAAACUGUGCGAAAAUAUAUUUUUGUUGACUUGCAGUACAAAGUUAGUUAUGUUCGUGUACCUUGAUUUACCGUCAAGUAAACCGCUUAUCGUGUACAAAUAUGUGCCCUAUCAUGGACUCCCACAUCAUGGUUUUAAAUGAAUGCACAAAAUACUAUCCUGAACCAGAAUUUAAACACAUUUUGCAAUUCUUGGUUUCAUCAUCGGCUUUGUUAUGUUGUUUAUUAGAUGGUGUUCAUGUGUUAUCAGUGACUCAAAUUGACAUGAGCAUAAAUUUGACUCAACUCAACUCGACACAACAACACACUGUGUCUCGACUUGACUCAACCUUCUUGCCCUAAUGACUUGACUCGACUCAAUCAUUUCCUUAAAAUUACUUGACUCGAUCACAAACUUCAGUGACCUGUUAGUCUAGUUUUUCUACACUUCUGUGGUCCUGAUAAUUUAAAAGCUGUUCCAAAUCUUUUGCUUCCAGGCUCAGGUUCAACUGUUAAAAAAUUGUCUGUCAUCACUGCAAGACAACUAGUUCAAGGUAGGCUCUAAAGAAGAUCCGCUGACAAGUUCAAGGAGAGGAACUCACAGGAAUAAGAAUAUGGGUCUAGAUCGUGGGUGCAGAAUUCUCAAGCGUUAUGGCCAUACUAAGGUUACCUCAAGCUCCACCCUGAAGGAUAUUUUGAGAGCUUUAAGGGGAUCAAAGUGUCAUCUGCAAUAUCAGCCGACAUUUGAAGGAAAAAAAAUAGGGGGGGGGAACCCCUGUAUCACUGCACCACUUUUGGGGCAAGCUCCAUUUCAGAAACCUGAGGCAAUUUUUGUUGUUGGCCUAAGGAUAAAGUACAUGUUAUUGACUGUGAAAAUGUCACCUAGUUUGCAUACUCUAUUCCCACGUUAUGACUAUUUUAAUAAACAGACCACAAAAUUCAGCUGUCCACCACUGAUCAUUAGUGGACAGCUGAAUCUUAUGGUCUGUUUACUAAAAUAUCAUAGGUUUUCAUUGGUUCGUAGAAUAGUAAUUCUACGAACCAAUGAAUAACUUUUAAAUAAAAUUUCCCACCUCCAUGAAACAACGAAAACUUGCAGAGGAAAACAGACAAAAAUCACCAUCAAUAUGGCAUUCCAUAGACAGCUAUAAAAAUAGCUUCUUUUUAGUAAAACAUGCAUAACUUCUGAUAGCAUGAUCAAUUUCAGUAAUGCUUUUUUUUUUCAGAUGAGUGGAAGAACAUGCUCUUUUACGAUAUACUUCAUUUGUGUAUUACAUUUGAUUGAUAUUUAAGAAAGAAAAAAAUUGAUAUUUAAAAAAGAAAAAAAAAAUUAUUCCAGGUCACUUUCUUUUUGACUCACCCUGUAUAUUUACUGAUUUGUAGAGAAGGGAAAUACGUGUAAAAAAAAAUGACUAUUACUAUUUUCUGUUACUAUUUGCUUGUACUUGAGUGAAGGAAAGAAUGGUAUCAGCCAUAAACUCAAUUUUCUUGAGAAACAUUAAAUAGUAUACACAUAUGGACUGGCAAUGAGGUCACUAGAGCACUGUGCCCAGAGGGACUGUGAGUGACCAUAGGACCCUGUUCUGGUCACUCACAGGGCAGAGGGGGCAUAGACAUGCACUUAGUGACCAAAUUAUGCCAGUCCAUAUGUGUUUUUGCACCUCUGUCCUACAUUUAAACUAAAAAAAAACCUUUCAGGGUUUUAUUAUUGAACUGUUUAAAUUCAACAGUUAACUCAUAAGCAAUUCAACUGUAAGCAAUUCAACAAUUAAAGGAACGCUUUUAGUUUCCCUAGAUUAAAUUUUUGAGUUUGAGUUUUGUCGGAGGGCGCUUUUACCAGUCAAAAAUGUUUGAGUAUAGUGCCCGAUCAGGCACUAUACUCUGGAAAUUACGUGCGCGAGAUGUCUUGACGCAUUUGUAGUUCACACUGAUGGAAGUUUCAAACACUAGCCUAUAUUAGCGAGUCACACGUAACCGCGUUUAAGCCAACCAGGACAAAGAACAAGCAAGCAGUGUGUUACAAUUUUGUCUUACCACAUCUCCCUGUUGAUUAUUCAAUUAAAUAGUAUAGUUAGCAGUUAAAAUAUUUGUUUUGUUUUGAUUUAUUAUUUUUUUCAUGUGAAACAAUCGCAAAGUUGUAUCUUUAUCGAAAGCUUCAAGAUCAGACUUUAUAGAGUAGAAGGUUAUUGAUUGUAAAAUAGUAAAAUGUGGAGUUCCCCCAUCAUUCCAAUUUUAUUUUUAAUCACAACACAAUAGGGAGCCCAAUACUUUUUCGAAAAUACUUGGUGAACCAAUUUCCAUUGCGUUUGAGUAGUAAAGGCGUGUUCAUCGGUCCUGAGAAAAUCAUGGAUGUUUGUUAACCAAAUAUUUAAAUAUAAAAACAUGAUUAUGAAAAUCAAUUCUGUUUAUCAUGUUACUAAUGUCAUAGGAGUCAAUACCUCACAGAUUUUAUUAGAAGACAAAUCUAAAGUGUUACAUGUUUUUGUUAAUGAUUUGUGCUGAUAUAUGUAACAUUUGUAUUGAAUAUCUUGCUUUCACAGUAGAUAGUCAGUAGUCUAAGCCUUUCAAGUUACUCUGUUUACAAAGAAGUGUAUAUCUUUUUGUUCAUUAUUUACAAUAAAUUUGCAUUUGCAUUUAAAAUAUUCUAUAUUGUGAACCCAUUUAUAUCAUUUGAUAAAAUAGUUAACAAUUUUAAUAAUUGUAAAACUGUAUUGCAACAUUAGAAUAUCCUUUUGUUGCUCCACAUCAGUGGACCAUGAAAAGAUGACCAUAGAAAACAGGCAGACAACUUGUGACUCACUAGUGAACCUGAAAAGGUUUCACAGACGGCGUUAUUUUUUUUAUUCAGUACUCUUAGUACUCUUACCUAUUCAAGCUACACAAAACAAUUGCCCUCUAAGUCUGCCUGAAUAUAAAUGACCGGAGCUUGAAAAUUAUAAAAAGACAAAUUUGCUUUCUCAAUUCAACCCCAAUCUGCGCAUGGGACAAGUUUCCCAAAAUUUGGACGAAUCUGAAUGCUAUAUUCAUGAAUUGCAGUGGACCAAAUAUGAAUUCACGCCUAGCACCCAAACAGCUCGAUUUGUGAGUCAAAAUUUUGAUGCCUGAAAUUCCUUCUUGCAUGAAUAGCACAAACGGCAAUUUUUAAAGGAUGGUUGUGUGGACAAAUACAGGGCGUCACAAAAAAAAAAGGUAAUCCUACUUUAAAGGGUUAUUAUGGCCCGACUAUAUGUUUACCAGCAAAAAGCUUUAUGCUUUUCAAUGAUACCUUGGGUAACAUUCCAGGGUCACGCAUCAUGGAGCACCAUUGUCUUGAAGUUGUGGUGCAAAAAUGCAGUUGGUUCACUUAUCAUACCUUAUUUUGAAAUAAGCUGUCAUUGAAAAGCACAACGCUUCGGCUUUAAGAUUAUAUCAUGCUUUUUGCUGGAAAAUAUAUAGUCUGGCCAUUAUAACCCUUUAAAGUAGGAUUAGCUUCUUCUUUUUUUAGACACCCUGUACAUGUAUAUUCUACUUCUAAAUCCUCUUUCCAUGACAAUAUCAUUUCAGUUUCCCCAAACAUGCCACUUAUCGCAGCAUAUGAAUGAGAUAUUAAAAACUAUUAUUACAGGAUUUACAAGUUUAA